GAAUAAGCACCGGCUAACUACGUGCCAGCAGCCGCGGUAAUACGUAGGGUGCGAGCGUUAAUCGGAAUUACUGGGCGUAAAGCGUGCGCAGGCGGUUUCGUAAGCUGGAGGUGAAAUCCCCGGGCUUAACCUGGGAAUGGCCUUCAGGACUGCGAGGCUAGAGUGCGGCAGAGGGAGGUGGAAUUCCACGUGUAGCAGUGAAAUGCGUAGAGAUGUGGAGGAACACCGAUGGCGAAGGCAGCCUCCUGGGCCAGCACUGACGCUCAUGCACGAAAGCGUGGGGAGCAAACAGGAUUAGAUACCCUGGUAGUCCACGCCCUAAACGAUGUCAACUAGGUGUUGGGGAAGGUGACUUCCUUAGUACCGCAGCUAACGCGUGAAGUUGACCGCCUGGGGAGUACGGCCGCAAGGUUAAAACUCAAAUGAAUUGACGG
This 434-nucleotide ribosomal RNA is filed under the name uncultured bacterium. Its description in RNAcentral is "bacterial SSU rRNA". It matches the Rfam family "Bacterial small subunit ribosomal RNA", at positions 484 to 916 of the family's 1533-position model. The record is from RNAcentral.